GUUGUUCGGAAUUACUGGGCGUAAAGGGCUCGUAGGCGGCCAACUAAGUCGGAUGUGAAAUCCCCAGGCUUAACCUGGGAACUGCAUCCGAUACUGGAUGGCUUGAAUUCGGGAGAGGGAUGCAGAAUUCCAGGUGUAGCGGUGAAAUGCGUAGAUAUCUGGAGGAAUACCGGUGGCGAAGGCGGCAUCCUGGACCGAGAUUGACGCUGAUGAGCGAAAGCUAGGGGAGCAAACGGG
This 237-nucleotide ribosomal RNA is filed under the name uncultured bacterium. RNAcentral's name for it is "partial 16S ribosomal RNA". It matches the Rfam family "Bacterial small subunit ribosomal RNA", at positions 540 to 776 of the family's 1533-position model. The record is from RNAcentral.